Molecule: long non-coding RNA, 704 nt
Filed under: Homo sapiens (human)
Lineage: Eukaryota; Metazoa; Chordata; Mammalia; Primates; Hominidae
Description: HSALNT0044296
Source: RNAcentral
GCAACAGUAGAUGCCAGUGUUAUGGCAUAUGUUGCUGUACAUGAGGAGGGAUGUCUUUAUUAGAAGACAUCAAGAGGAGUCAAUGACAACUUAAUCACUAACUGGCGCUGGACGAAGGACUGAAAUUUGGGAGUCACUGCCAUAGAUUAUGUCGUUUAUUCUGGCCAGCUUUAAUGCUGUCUAUAAUCCUAACAUGGUGUCAGAACAGAGACUUUCUUUGAGGUUGUCUUCUCUUUGUAGGACAUUCAUUUAUUUAACAAACACAAGCCAGGCUUGUGCUCUGUGCCAGGAACAUAAAGAUAAAAGUCUCUGCCUCAUGAAACUCACAAUCUGUAAACAGAUAAUUUUUCAGUUGAAUCUUGUUGUCACUGACUCAUGUUCCCGGAAAUAACCAUGUAUAUCAAAGACACAAAAGAGAGAAAUGCAAUGCAUGCCAUCUUUUAAAGCAGUAAACCUAUUGCCAGUAUGCAGAGAAAACUGUCAAUUCUAUUUUUAUUAAAUUCUCAUGUACAUCUAUUCUUUUGUUUUUUUGCAAGCAGAAUCAAAGCUCAACAAUGAUUCUUAGUGUAGAUUCUUCAGCCUUAUUGUUCUUUGAAUGCCACUGUGUUGCUCACCUUCCUUGUCAAACUCUUUUACUUCCUCCACCUCCACUUUGAACCAAAAGAUACUAUAACGAGUUCAUCCUAAGGGUAAAUUAAUUCUAC